AGAAUAAAAGUAGUAAUAUAUUAUUAAGAAAAAUAAUUUUAAGUUUUAAAGUUUAAAGUAAAGUUUAAUGAAAGUAAAUUUGGAAAUAAAAAGCUAUAGUGGAAAGUAUCGUAGGAGAAAGUUGAAAUAUUGUAAGAUGUUAAUAAUUUAAAAGUAAUUGUAAAAAAGUGUACCUUGUGUAUUAGGGAUGAUUAAAAUUAUUUGAAUAAAAUCUAUGAUCUCGAAAUAAAAAUAGUUAAGUUAAAAAUUAAGUUUUCGUGUUAAUGAAAUUAGAAAUUUUAAUUUAGUAGUGAAAUGUUAGUCGAGUUUUAAAUAUCUGGUUUCUUUAAAAAUAAAUUAAAUUUAGCCUUUAAAUUAAAUUAAGUUAAAGAGUAAAAGUAGGAGGGGAGAGCUUCUUAUUUGAAAUAGAUGAGUUUAUAAAGUGAUAAAAUAAAUAAAUUAAAAUUAGGCUUAAAAAUAGUUUUGUUUAUAAAAUGUUAUAAUUAAUAAUUUGAAGUUAAAUUAUUUAUAUUACUUUUAAAAAAAUAUAAGGAAAUAAUUAUAAAUUUGUAAUAUUUAGUUAAAAUGAUUUUAUUAGUAUAAUUUGUUGUUAAUAAUAAAAAUAGAAUAAUUAAUAAAUUUUAAUGAAAUUAUGGUAUGUAAAAGGAAUUCGGCAAAUUAUACUUUUGCCUGUUUAUCAAAAACAUGUCUAUAUGAAAGUUUUAUAAAGUCUAGCCUGCCCACUGAAAUAGUUAAAGGGCCGCGGUAUUUUGACCGUGCGAAGGUAGCAUAAUCAUUAGUCUUUUAAUUGAAGGCUUGUAUGAAUGGUUGGACAAAAAGUAAGCUGUCUUUAAAUAAAAUUUGAAUUUAACUUUUAAGUGAAAAGGCUUAAAUGAAUUUAAGGGACGAUAAGACCCUAUAAAGCUUUACAUUAAUAAAAUAAUAUAUAAAAUAUUAAUGUAGAAAGUUCUUUAUUUUUUAGAUGUUUUGUUGGGGCGACAGAAGUAUAAAUGUAACUGCUUUGAGAUUUAUAAUCAGUAAUUUCUGUAAGAAAAAUGAUCCUUUGUAAGGAUUAGGAGAUUAAGUUACUUUAGGGAUAACAGCGUUAUUUUUUUUUGAGAGUUCAUAUCGACAAAAAAGUUUGCGACCUCGAUGUUGAAUUAAAGUUUCCUUUUAAUGUAGCAGUUAAAACGGAGGGUCUGUUCGACCUUUAAAUCUUUACAUGAUUUGAGUUCAGACCGGCGUGAGCCAGGUUGGUUUCUAUCUUUAAUAUAAUAAAUAAUCAUUUUAGUACGAAAGGAUUGAAUGGUUGAAAUAAUUUUUAUUAGUAAAAUAUUAUUUUGGCAGAAAUAUAUGCGUUAGAUUUAGGAUUUAAUUAUAUAGGGUUCC
RNAcentral lists this ribosomal RNA (1368 nucleotides) under Neoglyphea inopinata. RNAcentral's name for it is "16S ribosomal RNA". The stretch from base 622 to 1368 matches the Rfam family "Archaeal large subunit ribosomal RNA", at positions 1423 to 2893 of the family's 2987-position model. Lineage: Eukaryota; Metazoa; Arthropoda; Malacostraca; Decapoda; Glypheidae. The record is from RNAcentral.